Molecule: unclassified non-coding RNA, 20 nt
Filed under: Mus musculus (house mouse)
Lineage: Eukaryota; Metazoa; Chordata; Mammalia; Rodentia; Muridae
Description: oocyte_clustered_small_RNA4603
Source: RNAcentral
AACGUGCAGGAUAUGAUGUU